AUAAUACAUAACAUAUAUAAAGGUUGAGGAUGAACACGGAUGCGGCCACUUUCAUUUUUGACAAAAACCAUCUGAAAAACGACAUUUUUCGGCAUAUUUGGUAGAUUUUUCAUAUUUGAGCUUGAAUCGAAUAGUUUUUAAUGACUAAAUUAGUUAAAAUCUUUCACUUGAACUAAUUGAAUCUAAUGAAAUAGACACUUA
RNAcentral lists this long non-coding RNA (201 nucleotides) under Mytilus galloprovincialis (Mediterranean mussel). The record is from RNAcentral. Lineage: Eukaryota; Metazoa; Mollusca; Bivalvia; Mytilida; Mytilidae.